GCAGUCGAACGAGGAGCCCCUGGAGCUUGCUUUGGGGUCUCCUAGUGGCGCAUGGGUGAAGUAACACGUGAGUGACAUGCCCUGCAGUGGGGAAUAGCCCGCCGAAAGGCGGAUUAAUACCCCAUGGAUCCCUUCGGGGUAAAGGUGCCUUCGGGUGCCGCUGCAGGAUUGGCUCGCGUCCUAUCAGCUAGUUGGCGGGAUAACGGCCCACCAAGGCGACGACGGGUACCUGGUCUGAGAGGACGAUCAGGCACACUGGAACUGAGACACGGUCCAGACACCUACGGGUGGCAGCAGUCGAGAAUAAUUCACAAUGGACGAAAGUCUGAUGGUGCAACGCCGCGUGGAGGAUGAAGGUCCUCGGAUUGUAAACUCCUGUCAUCGGGGAGUAAGACCUGGCCGUUAAUAGCGGACAGGGUUGAUAGUACCCGAAGAGGAAGGGACGGCUAACUUCGUGCCAGCAGCCGCGGUAAUACGAAGGUCCCGAGCGUUGUUCGGAAUCACUGGGCGUAAAGGGAGCGUAGGCGGUUCGGUAAGUCAGGUGUGAAAUCCCGGGGCUCAACCCCGGAACUGCACCCGAUACUGCCGGACUUGAGUAGUGGAGGGGUAACCGGAAUUCUCGGUGUAGCAGUGAAAUGCGUGGAUAUCGAGAGGAACACUCGUGGCGAAGGCGGGUUACUGGACACUUACUGACGCUGAAGGCUCGAAGGCCAGGG
RNAcentral lists this ribosomal RNA (716 nucleotides) under uncultured bacterium. RNAcentral describes it as "bacterial SSU rRNA". It matches the Rfam family "Bacterial small subunit ribosomal RNA", at positions 57 to 765 of the family's 1533-position model. The record is from RNAcentral.